RNAcentral lists this long non-coding RNA (485 nucleotides) under Gossypium barbadense (sea-island cotton). Its description in RNAcentral is "long non-coding RNA (GBAR_LNC018394)". Lineage: Eukaryota; Viridiplantae; Streptophyta; Magnoliopsida; Malvales; Malvaceae. The record is from RNAcentral.
AGAAAAGUCCUAAAUUAAGUAGGUGAUCAAUCUAAUUGAUUUAGAAAAAUUCCUUGAACGAUAAAACAAGCAACUCAAGAAUGCCAAAUCCAAAUUUAAACAAAAUAAAUCUUCAAAUACCUUGUGCUAGGUUUCAUAAGUGUCUAACUAAGCUUGAAUAUUUUAACCACUCAUAGCAAUUGAAACAAAACAAGAAUCAAUUGUAAACAGCAUAAAUUACAAGCUGAAUCUUGGAGAAGAAAAUUCCUCAAAUCGUCGAGCUUCCCUUCUUUCGAUUAGCUGAAAUUUUGGGUUGCUACUUCAACUGCUUGGUCGGCUUUUUCUGGUUCAAUUUGAGGUUUUCCUUUGCUCGAGUGCCACGCCCCUCUGCUGCUGUAUAUUUUUUCUCUCCUAUUUUUAGCUGGUGGUCAUCUCUAUUUAUGGAAUAAUAACCUCCAACAAUUCAAAAUUAAAUUUGAUCUUAUCCCCCUUUUCCUAGCUGAACC